UCCGAAGAACAGGAGCUCAGAGAUCUCGAUCUCCUUUUGGAAGAGCGCGGAGAAAAAAUGGGGAGCGAGAAAUAGGUUGCUGGUUUCCCUGAUUUUUUUUUUCUUGAAGUGCAGCAUUCGUGCAGGGUGACAACAUAUCCUACAAUUUCCCAAAGUUCAUAGUGCAUUUCAAAUAGAAGAGAAAAGCCAUGGCUGGUUGGCCUGCUAAGCAAAGCAGAAACAGACGGAACUCGUUUUCUGUUUCAUGCACACCCAUGAUGAUGAGAGGACAUUUGAGAGACUUCAAAGGAAAAGAGCCAAAAACAGAGAAACGAGAAUACUGCUAAAAAUUUAUUUGGCAGGGUUAAGUAUGGCAGUUGGAAUUAAUUCAGUGUUACUUAUUUCUGCACUUUAUUGCUCCUGCCAGGAAAGGCUAAAGAUACUGUACAAUAUUUUAAGAUUAAAAUUUCAAGGUGGAACUAAUUUUGAGAGGUAACAUCACAUUCUGGAAAACUGGUUUAUAUAAUACAUAUAGCUUUGCAAGGGUUACUAUAGCCCACUGCUAUACUAUAAAUCAAAGCACUCUAUAUUCAACAAGAUUUUAAACCAAGACUUUUUGUAGCUGAUUAGGUCCUAUAUAAGAAUGCUGAAUACCUGAGUAUGCUGUAUACUCUGUUGUAAUUAUUUAAAUUAUACAAAACUUGCAGAAAAAAACAAAUUAUAUUUAUGUUGUAUGACCACAGAAAUGGAAGAGCUGUUUCAUUUUACUUCUGUUGAAAGAGUUGAAAGUUUCAAACAAAAAGUCUACAUGCCUGCAGAUGCACUUUCCUGUAUCAUAUAGCCCGUGUUUGCUAUUGCUUUGCUUUGGUUAAAAACCUCCAUAUUUAAUUAGUCAAGAAAAAUAAAUCAGGAUUAAGGAACAUUUUAGGCAGCAGCUGAGCAACAGUUAUGCAUUUAUUAAUCACAGCAGCCAUUCUUUAAUAUUUCUCCUGAGUGAACGCUUAACUUAUUGCUGAAUUCUUUAUUUCUUAAAUGCAUUUUCUACAAUCCCACAUCUGGAAGCUUUCUCAAAAUAUAAGUCUCCUGAGCGUGCCUGGACUAAAUAAAGCCAAAAAUGGAAUCUCCAUUCUCUCAUGGCAGUCUGUGUUUCAAAAUUCACUUUGAAUUUGGAUGAAAAAAUAUUGAAACCUACCUCUAUUUAUUUUUUUUAAUCAGAAAUGUCAAAAUAGGUACCCUGUUUCCCUGAAAAUAAGACAUCCCCUGAUAAUAAGCCCAAUCGGGCUUUUGAGCGCAUGUGCUAACAUAAGCCUCCCUCCAAAAAUAAGCUCUCCCCAAAAAUAUUUAAACGCAGAGCUGGAAAUCAGGUAAGACGGCAAGAGGAGUCCCAUCUUGUUCCACAUACCCCAAAAUAAUAAGACCUCCCCGAAAAUAAGGCCAAGCACUUAUUUCGGGGUUCAAAAAAAUAUAAGACGGUCUUAUUUUUGG
Long non-coding RNA from Ahaetulla prasina, 1464 nucleotides. RefSeq lists it as uncharacterized. Lineage: Eukaryota; Metazoa; Chordata; Lepidosauria; Squamata; Colubridae. The record is from RefSeq and is a predicted model, not a curated record. The transcript has 3 exons.